UACGUAGGGACCAAGCGUUGUUCGGAUUUACUGGGCGUAAAGGGCGCGUAGGCGGCAAAUUAAGUCAGCUGUGAAAUCUCCGAGCUUAACUCGGAACUGCCAGCUGAUACUGAUGUGCUAGAGUGCGGAAGGGGCAAUCGGAAUUCUUGGUGUAGCGGUGAAAUGCGUAGAUAUCAAGAGGAACACCUGAGGUGAAGACGGGUUGCUGGGCCGACACUGACGCUGAGUGCGCGAAAGCCAGGGGAGCAAACGGG
This 254-nucleotide ribosomal RNA is filed under the name uncultured bacterium. Its description in RNAcentral is "partial 16S ribosomal RNA". It matches the Rfam family "Bacterial small subunit ribosomal RNA", at positions 524 to 776 of the family's 1533-position model. The record is from RNAcentral.